Molecule: ribosomal RNA, 392 nt
Filed under: uncultured bacterium
Lineage: Bacteria
Description: partial 16S ribosomal RNA
Rfam family: Bacterial small subunit ribosomal RNA
Source: RNAcentral
AUACGGAAGGUCCGGGCGUUAUCCGGAUUUAUUGGGUUUAAAGGGAGCGUAGGCGGAAGGUUAAGUCUGCGGUAAAAUGGCCGUGCUCAACGCGGUCCUGCCGUGGAUACUGGUCUUCUUGAACGUGCACAAGGAAGGUGGAAUUCGUGGUGUAGCGGUGAAAUGCUUAGAUAUCACGAAGAACUCCGAUUGCGAAGGCAUCCUUCUGGGGCAUGAUUGACGCUGAGGCUCGAAAGCGCGGGUAUCAAACAGGAUUAGAUACCCUGGUAUUCCACGCCGUAAACGAUGAUGACUAACCGUCGGCGAUAGACAGCCGGUGGCCAAGCGAAAGCGAUAAGUCAUCCACCUGGGGAGUACGUCGGCAACGAUGAAACUCAAAUGAAUUGACGGGG